CUGCGUCAUUUAGCCUAUCUAUCAAAUCCCUAGGUCCUUCUAAUCGUUCUUCUUAUCGAUUGAUGUCAGGUGACUUCCCAUCUUUGUUCAGAAGUAAUAGGAAUGUGACUUCCCUCAAGUAAGAGACCCUGCUUGCUUAUCAAUCACAGAGCUCUAGUUCUCCAUCCAUCUUAAGCAGCAAAUCGCCAUUUUUUUACUGGAAUUGAGGAUGCUGGAUUGUAUGGUUGGCCUCCAUCUCCAUAGACUCUGUUUCUAUCUUCUGUUCAGUUUUCUAUUUCCAGCUCUAAAUGCAUCUACUAGUACUUCCUUUAUUCUA
This is a non-coding RNA of Jatropha curcas, 316 nucleotides long. Lineage: Eukaryota; Viridiplantae; Streptophyta; Magnoliopsida; Malpighiales; Euphorbiaceae. The record is from RefSeq and is a predicted model, not a curated record.